Long non-coding RNA from Toxorhynchites rutilus septentrionalis, 588 nucleotides. RefSeq lists it as uncharacterized. Lineage: Eukaryota; Metazoa; Arthropoda; Insecta; Diptera; Culicidae. The transcript has 2 exons. The record is from RefSeq and is a predicted model, not a curated record.
UGGCAACUCUUCUUUCCACUUUUCAUCGAAUGUUUUCAAAUCACAGGAGUAAACAUUUACGUGACUGUGACUUCGUUUGUUUUUAUUUCGUUCGGAGAAAAAUUAUAUCAGGGAAAGUGGACAUUAAAAAUGCGUUGCUCAGUGAAAGGCUGCCCGAAUACGAGUGAAAAUGUUCGCGUUAGCUCUUAUAGCUUCGGAAACGUAUUUACAGACGCACUGGGUUGAUUUUUGCGGAGACGACAAACUAGUUCCGAAUAAGGAUUCGCGUAUCAGUGGAAUUAUUUUGAUAGCGUCUUAAUGCAGUGGACUGUGAAAACUGCUACUUAAUCCCGCUGCGAGAUACCAAAGCAGCCUUUAUGCGGAUUGCCCAACGUGAGAACCCAAAAUCCCCCCGUGGGCGCGAUGCAGACUGCCUUCAUUGCAGUGAUGCAGCGGGGAUUUUCCAUUCGCAUGGAAAUUCACAUCACUGUAGCAGAUUGAGGGACUCGUUUCAUCGGAGACAAAAUACAACACACACUUAAACUACUAUAACUAUGUACAUUGUAUUUUACUUAAUACUAUAGAAAUAUACAUGAAAUUAUACAAGCA